Molecule: ribosomal RNA, 530 nt
Filed under: soil fungal sp. DM2-205
Lineage: Eukaryota; Fungi
Description: eukaryotic LSU rRNA
Rfam family: Eukaryotic large subunit ribosomal RNA
Source: RNAcentral
CAGCUCAAAUUUGAAAUCUGGUCCCUAGGGCCCGAGUUGUAAUUUGUAGAGGAUGCUUUUGGUGAGGUGCCGCCCGAGUUCCCUGGAACGGGACGCCACAGAGGGUGAGAGCCCCGUCUGGCUGGCCGCCGAGCCUCUGUAAAGCUCCUUCGACGAGUCGAGUAGUUUGGGAAUGCUGCUCAAAAUGGGAGGUAUAUGUCUUCUAAAGCUAAAUAUUGGCCAGAGACCGAUAGCGCACAAGUAGAGUGAUCGAAAGAUGAAAAGCACCUUGAAAAGAGGGUUAAAUAGUACGUGAAAUUGUUGAAAGGGAAGCGCUUGUGACCAGACUUGGGCGCGGCGGAUCAUCCGGGGUUCUCUCCGGUGCACUUCGCCGCGUCUAGGCCAGCAUCAGUUCGUCGCGGGGGAAAAAGGCUUCGGGAACGUGGCUCCUCCGGGAGUGUUAUAGCCCGUUGCAUAAUACCCUGCGGUGGACUGAGGACCGCGCAUCUGCAAGGAUGCUGGCGUAAUGGUCACCAGCGACCCGUCUUGAA